AUUGAACGCUGGGGCAGGCCUAACACCUUCAAGUCGGACGAGUGGCGGACGGGUGAGUAAUGUCUGGGACACUGCCCGAUGGAGGGGGAUAACUACUGGAAACGGUAGCUAAUACCGCAUACCAUCGGAUGUGCCCAGAUGGGAUGAGCUAGUAGGUGGGGUAACGGCUCACCUAGGCGACGAUCCCUAGCUGGUCUGAGAGGAUGACCAGCCACACUGGAACUGAGACACGGUCCAGAAUCCUACGGGAGGCAGCAGUGGGGAAUAUUGGACAAUGGGCGAAAGCCUGAUGCAGCCAUGCCGCGUGUAUGAAGAAGGCCUUCGGGUUGUAAAGUACUUUCAGCGGGGAGGCGUUACCUGCAGAAGAAGCACCGGCUAACUCCGUGCCAGCAGCCGCGGUAAUUC
This 405-nucleotide ribosomal RNA is filed under the name uncultured bacterium. Its description in RNAcentral is "partial 16S ribosomal RNA". It matches the Rfam family "Bacterial small subunit ribosomal RNA", at positions 30 to 526 of the family's 1533-position model. The record is from RNAcentral.